RNAcentral lists this transfer RNA (85 nucleotides) under Felis catus (domestic cat). It matches the Rfam family "tRNA". From Rfam's summary of the family: Transfer RNA (tRNA) molecules are approximately 80 nucleotides in length. The record is from Rfam by way of RNAcentral. Lineage: Eukaryota; Metazoa; Chordata; Mammalia; Carnivora; Felidae.
GCCUGGGUGGCUCAGUUGGUUGGGUGUCCGACUUUGGCUCGGGUCAUGAUCUCACGGUUUGUGAGUUCAAACCCCAUGUCAGGCU